GGAAAGAUGAAAAGAACUUUGAAAAGAGAGUUAAACAGUACGUGAAAUUGUUGAAAGGGAAACGAUUGAAGUCAGUCGUGCUGGCGCGAAAUCAACCCUCUCGUCGAGAGGACACAUGGCGUGGCGAGCCUCAAAACCGUCACGAAGCGUGAACUCUUGGCGAAAAGGAGCACUUUCGUGUCCGCUGGUUAACAUCAAUUUCGAACGUCAUAAAAAGGCUGGAGGGAUGUGGCUCCUUCGGGAGUGUUAUAACCUUUAGCGGAAUGUGGUGGUCGGGAUUGAGGAUUGCAACGAAUACCUUUAGGGCUGUUCCACCUGGCUUCUCUUUGGCAUCCUGGUGACGACAGCUUGCUGACGUUGUUAGGAUUCGCCUUUGAACAGGCUAGAGUGUGAGCAAAUUCGUUAAGGAUGUUAACGUAAUGGCUUUAAACGACCCGUCUUGAAACACGGACCA
RNAcentral lists this ribosomal RNA (454 nucleotides) under Entrophospora claroidea. RNAcentral's name for it is "partial large subunit ribosomal RNA". It matches the Rfam family "Eukaryotic large subunit ribosomal RNA", at positions 358 to 668 of the family's 3401-position model. The record is from RNAcentral. Lineage: Eukaryota; Fungi; Glomeromycota; Glomeromycetes; Entrophosporales; Entrophosporaceae.